AUGGCGGAGGUGGGGGAGAUAAUCGAGGGCUGCCGCCUACCCGUACUGCGGCGGAACCAGGACAACGAAGAUGAGUGGCCCCUGGCUGAGAUCCUAAGUGUAAAGGACAUCAGUGGCAGGAAGCUUUUCUACGUUCACUACAUUGACUUCAAUAUAUGUCUGGGUGAGUGGGUGACCCACAAGCGGCUGGAUUUAAAGAAGAUCCAGUUCCCCAAGAAAGAGGCUAAGACCUCCACCAAGAACGGACUUCCUGGUUCCCGGCCUGGGUCUCCAGAGAAAGAGGUGCCGGCCUCCGCCCAGACCAGCGAGAAGACCUUGCCAAUCCCGGUCCAGAUCACACUCCACUUCAACCUGCCUAAGGAGCGGGAGGCCAUUCCCGGUGGUGAGCCUGACCAGCCGCUCCCCUCCAGCUCCUGCCUGCAACCCAACCACCGCUCAAAGAAAUGGAAGGUGGAGGUGGUUUCACCAGCAACUCCAGUCCCCAGUGAGACAGCCCCAGCUUCCAUUUUUCCCCAGAAUGGGUCAGCCCGUAGAGCUGUGGCAGCUCAGCCAGCAUAGAAGCGAAAAUCAAAUUGUCUGGGCACUGAUGAGGAUUCCCAGGACAGCUCCGAUGAAAUACUUCAGCUCCACGCAUGACUGGCAGCUUGGUAUCUGACAGGAGUCAUGACGACAUUGUCACCCGGAUGAAGAACACUGAGUGCAUCAAGCUGGGCAGGCAUCGCCUCAAGCUGUGGUACUUCUCCCCAUACCCACAGGAGCUCACCAUGUUGCCUGUCCUCUACCUAUGCGAGUUCUGCCUCAAGUAUGGUCAUAGCCUCAAGUGUCUGCAGCGUCACUUGACCAAGUGUGACCUGCAGCACCCACCAGGCAAUGAGAUAUACCGAAAUGGAACCAUCUCAUUCUUUGAGAUUGAUGGACGGAAGAACAAGAGUUAUUCCCAGAAUCUGUGUCUUCUGGCCAAAUGUUUCCUCGACCACAAGACCUUGUACUAUGACACAGACCCCUUCCUCUUCUAUGUCAUGACAGAGUAUGGCUGCAAGGGCUUCCACAUUGUGGGCUACUUUUCCAAGGAAAAGGAGUCCACAGAAGACUACAAUGUGGCCUGCAUCCUGACGCUGCCUCCCUAUCAGCACCAGGGCUAUGGCAAGCUGCUCACUGAGUUCAGCUAUGAACUCUCCAAGGUGGAGGGGAAGACACGGACCCCUUAGAAGCCCCUCUCCAAUCUUGGCCUCCUAUCCUAUAGAAGUUACUGGUCCCAGAAAAUCCUGGAGAUCCUGAUGGGACUGAAGUCAGAGAGUGGAGAGAGGCCGCAGAUCACUAUCAACGAGAUCAGUGAAAUUACCAGUAUCAAGAAAGAGGAUGUCAUCUCCACCCUGCAGUACCUCAACCUCAUCAAUUACUACAAAGGCCAGUAUAUCCUUACUCUAUCAGAGGACACUGUGGAUGGGCAUGAGCGGGCUAUGCUCAAGCAACUCCUUUGAAUUGACUCUAAGUAUCUACACUUUACUCCCAAGGACUGGAGCAAGACAGGAAAGUGGUGACAAGGCACUGCCUGCUACAGCAGCAUGAGCCAGCAGAGCUGGGGCCAUCAGCCUGCUACACAAACCCCCUAGGGUUCCCAGGAGACAUGCCACAGGAGGCAAAGCUGAAUACAGCUCCCAGAAGAGGGGCGGGGCCAGCACCGAGGCCCACCCAGGGCUCAGGUCAGCACCAUGGUCAGCUGCCACAAGCCCAGGCCCACAAUGAACCAGGGACCUGAGGGAGCCGGGCAGCCGUGUAUA
RNA transcript from Octodon degus (degu), 1781 nucleotides. It is a transcript of the gene named histone acetyltransferase KAT5 pseudogene, with no coding region annotated. The record is from RefSeq and is a predicted model, not a curated record. The transcript has a single exon. Lineage: Eukaryota; Metazoa; Chordata; Mammalia; Rodentia; Octodontidae.